Pygocentrus nattereri (red-bellied piranha) is the source of this 565-nucleotide long non-coding RNA. Lineage: Eukaryota; Metazoa; Chordata; Actinopteri; Characiformes; Serrasalmidae. The record is from Ensembl.
ACCAAUAUUAUUCCAAUAUCAUCUUGCAUACCAGUUUUUGGUGAUGUGCUUCGUACUGUCUCACAGGCCAGUGUCUUUCAGUGUGGAGGAUAUGGUGCUGGAGGCUGUUGUGGUAUUGUCCACUCUAGUGAUUGCAGCCAGCGAGAAUCCGUCACAGGUUUCUAUUGUACAGGAAGCUCCAGUGCCAAGGAACAUCAGUGAUGUCUGUCCAGCAAGCACCCCCAUAGCUGACAAUUCCGUAGCAAACAUCUCCAAACACGAGGGUCCUUUAGAGGCAGAGGUUGCUUGCGUGCCAUCCGAGAAUUCAACUUUCCCUCUUGGGGAGCAGGUGGCCUCCAGCCAGGGAAGCCCAGUCUUCUUCCCAGCCUCCUUCCACAUGAAAAAUCUCUUGCAACUCCACAGAGAAGAAAUGGACCUUUUAAGACCUAAAGGGAUGCAUUCUCUGCUCUUUGGAGCCGUAUCAAGCAGCAUGGCAGAUGGCAUUGCAUCAGAACUGCCCAGCCUGGUGUGCGCCAGUGACACCGAGGAUGAUGCUGGAGAUGAUGGCGUCAGAGUGGAAGAGUAA